RNAcentral lists this ribosomal RNA (465 nucleotides) under Vreelandella stevensii. RNAcentral's name for it is "partial 16S ribosomal RNA". It matches the Rfam family "Bacterial small subunit ribosomal RNA", at positions 338 to 795 of the family's 1533-position model. Lineage: Bacteria; Pseudomonadati; Pseudomonadota; Gammaproteobacteria; Oceanospirillales; Halomonadaceae. The record is from RNAcentral.
CCUACGGGGGGCUGCAGUGGGGAAUAUUGGACAAUGGGCGAAAGCCUGAUCCAGCCAUGCCGCGUGUGUGAAGAAGGCCUUCGGGUUGUAAAGCACUUUCAGUGGGGAAGAAAGCCUUGGGGCUAAUACCCUCGAGGAAGGACAUCACCCACAGAAGAAGCACCGGCUAACUCCGUGCCAGCAGCCGCGGUAAUACGGAGGGUGCGAGCGUUAAUCGGAAUUACUGGGCGUAAAGCGCGCGUAGGCGGUCUGAUAAGGCGGUUGUGAAAGCCCCGGGCUCAACCUGGGAACGGCAUCCGGAACUGUCAGGCUAGAGUGCAGGAGAGGAAGGUAGAAUUCCCGGUGUAGCGGUGAAAUGCGUAGAGAUCGGGAGGAAUACCAGUGGCGAAGGCGGCCUUCUGGACUGACACUGACGCUGAGGUGCGAAAGCGUGGGUAGCAAACAGGAUUAGAUACCCUUGUAGUC